Molecule: long non-coding RNA, 734 nt
Filed under: Marmota monax (woodchuck)
Lineage: Eukaryota; Metazoa; Chordata; Mammalia; Rodentia; Sciuridae
Source: RNAcentral
GGAGUUUUAGACUAAGGAAACCCAACUUUGCUAGGAUGUACAGGAAUUAACGGCAUGCGUUUGGGAUGCUAGUGCUUCUAGUUUUCAUUUUUUAUUUUCCCCAUUUAUAAACAAAAACCUCGUGCUGAGGGCGUAUGUUAGUGGUAGAGCACUUUCCUAGCACUUUCCUGAUUCCAUUCCCAGCACCGCCAGAGCAAAAACUAGAAAACCUCUGUAUAUCUUUGCAUUCACCUCAAGCAUUUUGUUUUUGUUUUUAUUUUUUUAUUCUAAUUAGUUAUACAUGACAGUAGAAUGCAUUUUGACAGCCCAUACAUAAAUGGAAUGUAACUUCUCAUUCGUUUGGUUGUACAUGAACCUCAAGCAUUUUUGCGCCAAUGAAUUAAGGCAAGAGUUUUUAGUCUUGGGUCCAGAAGAGUACAUUUAUACAGUUCAGAGUCCUUGAAUUUGGAUGGAGAAAAAUACACCAUAUUUUCGCCAAACUGACUGAUUUCAACACUUUGUUUAAGAAUGUAGCAAGAGACCACAGUGGUGUUGCAUAUUACCUGUGACUUGGUCACCUAUAGAACCACAAAUGGUAUCACAGUACAUUACAGUUAAUGUAGAUAUUUACACACUCACUUUUUUUUUUGAGAGAGAGAGAGAAUGAAUCUUUUUUGUAGAUGGAGACAACACAAUGCCUUUUAUUUUUAUGUGGUGCUGAGACUCGAACCCGGGCCCCUCCGGUACUAGGCAAG